AGUGCCUCUUACCGACUCUGGCGAAAACAGUUAUAUGCGCAUAGCAGCGCUUGUCGAUGAUCCGGAUUGAUGCCUCUCAGCCCCGGCAGCACGGGGAGGGUGUAGGAGAGGUGAAGAUGUCCGGUACAGAUGGUUAUUGCGUAGUCCGCUGUAAAGGGUAAUGUUAGUCUGUAGCGUAUGGCAGCGCUGGAGGUCUUUGGUGUUGGAUCCCUCUGUACCCCGACGGCGCGGGGAGAAGAUGAGAAAGCAGUGAAUAAAUAAUCCAGAUAGUCCCGACUUCUUGUGCAAAGGCAGUCUUGUACCAGACGCGUUUCGGGGAGCCACGUCUCCUUUUUCAAAAUUGGAUAUGCAACACAGUCUAAAGGUUAUAGAUUUAAACCCAGCCAGGCCUAUGUCUACAGAGAGUAUCAUCUCUAUGUCUGUGUCUGUGUUAAAGCUCUCAGGAGGAAAAGACGAUGGAGCAUAAAAGCAAAAACAGAACAGCCGCCUGCCUACCGAACUCCUGCUACAUCCUGACUACGCUACUGUGCCGCCUGCCCUGAC
This is a long non-coding RNA of Hyla sarda, 543 nucleotides long. RefSeq lists it as uncharacterized. The transcript has 3 exons. The record is from RefSeq and is a predicted model, not a curated record. NCBI's taxonomy places the organism in Eukaryota, Metazoa, Chordata, Amphibia, Anura, Hylidae.